This 101-nucleotide small RNA is filed under the name Arabidopsis thaliana (thale cress). RNAcentral's name for it is "ATSL079020". The record is from RNAcentral. Lineage: Eukaryota; Viridiplantae; Streptophyta; Magnoliopsida; Brassicales; Brassicaceae.
UUUAAACGAAAAAGUGAGAAUUGUAGAAUUGUAGUGAUAUAGUGAAGAUCGGAUUUUAAAAUAAUUAUAUCAUUAUACGAUAUUUAGACAAAUCACUUUUU